Molecule: ribosomal RNA, 465 nt
Filed under: uncultured bacterium
Lineage: Bacteria
Description: partial 16S ribosomal RNA
Rfam family: Bacterial small subunit ribosomal RNA
Source: RNAcentral
CCUACGGGAGGCAGCAGUAGGGAAUCUUCCACAAUGGGCGAAAGCCUGAUGGAGCAACGCCGCGUGGGUGAAGAAGGUCUUCGGAUCGUAAAACCCUGUUGUUAGCGAAGAAAGUGCGUGAGAGUAACUGUUCACGUUUCGACGGUAUCUAACCAGAAAGCCACGGCUAACUACGUGCCAGCAGCCGCGGUAAUACGUAGGUGGCAAGCGUUAUCCGGAUUUAUUGGGCGUAAAGGGAACGCAGGCGGUCUUUUAAGUCUGAUGUGAAAGCCUUCGGCUUAACCGGAGUAGUGCAUUGGAAACUGGGAGACGUGAGUGCAGAAGAGGAGAGUGGAACUCCAUGGGUAGCGGUGAAAUGCGUAGGUAGAUGGAAGAACACCAGUGGCGAAAGCGGCUCUCUGGUCUGUAACUGACGCUGAGGUUCGAAAGCGUGGGUAGCAAACAGGAUUAGAUACCCGAGUAGUC